RNAcentral lists this ribosomal RNA (326 nucleotides) under uncultured eukaryote. RNAcentral describes it as "partial 18S ribosomal RNA". It matches the Rfam family "Eukaryotic small subunit ribosomal RNA", at positions 1470 to 1796 of the family's 1831-position model. The record is from RNAcentral.
CCCUUAGAUGUUCUGGGCCGCACGCGCGCUACACUGACUACUUCAACGAGUUGUUUCCUUGAUCGAAAGGUCUGGGUAAUCUUUGAAAGGUAGUCGUGCUGGGGAUAGAUCAUUGCAAUUUUUGAUCUUGAACGAGGAAUUCCUAGUAAGCGCGAGUCAUCAGCUCGCGUUGAUUACGUCCCUGCCCUUUGUACACACCGCCCGUCGCUCCUACCGAUUGAAUGGUCCGGUGAAAUCUUCGGAUUGCUGACCAAGAUCCAGCAAUGGAGCUUGGUUGCGAGAAGUUGAUUAAACCUUAUUAUUUAGAGGAAGGAGAAGUCGUAACA